RNAcentral lists this ribosomal RNA (252 nucleotides) under uncultured bacterium. Its description in RNAcentral is "partial 16S ribosomal RNA". It matches the Rfam family "Bacterial small subunit ribosomal RNA", at positions 524 to 776 of the family's 1533-position model. The record is from RNAcentral.
UACGAAGGGGCUAGCGUUGUUCGGAAUUACUGGGCGUAAAGAGCGCGUAGGCGGCUUACCAAGUUGGGGGUGAAAUCCCGGAGCUCAACUCCGGAACUGCCUUCAAAACUGGUAGGCUCGAGUCCGGAAGAGGGGCGUGGAAUUCCCAGUGUAGAGGUGAAAUUCGUAGAGAUUGGGAAGAACACCGGUGGCGAAGGCGGCGCCCUGGUCCGGUACUGACGCUGAGGCGCGAAAGAGUGGGGAGCAAACAGG